CUUGGCGGACAAGGCAAGCAAUGCUACUCAAUCUGCCAAGGAAUCAAGCCAAGAGGCUGGCCAGCAGAUGAAGGAUAAGGCACAAGGGGCUUGUGAUGCCGUUAAGGAUAAAGUUGGAGCAAACAAAUGAAAAUCAUAUUGGACCUCAUCAAUCGAGCAAGCCUGCCCAAAUAAAUUUUGUGCUUAUUAAAUUUUAAUUUAUGUUUGGUCCUUAACCUUUAGGUUGAAUGUCAAUUUGAUCCUUAACAUUUCAAAUGUGUUAAUUUAGUCCUUUUGAAUGGAAGAUAUAGAUAAUGUGUCAA
Quercus lobata is the source of this 302-nucleotide long non-coding RNA. RefSeq lists it as uncharacterized. The transcript is spliced from 2 exons. The record is from RefSeq and is a predicted model, not a curated record. NCBI's taxonomy places the organism in Eukaryota, Viridiplantae, Streptophyta, Magnoliopsida, Fagales, Fagaceae.